CCUACGGGAGGCAGCAGUGAGGAAUAUUGGUCAAUGGGCGGAAGCCUGAACCAGCCAAGUAGCGUGCAGGAUGACGGCCCUACGGGUUGUAAACUGCUUUUAUACGGGAAUAACGCGCCUUACGUGUAGGGCUUUGCAUGUACCUUAUGAAUAAGGACCGGCUAAUUCCGUGCCAUCAGCCGCGGUAAUACGGAAGGUCCGGGCGUGAUCCGGAUUUAUUGGGGUUAAAGGGAGCGUAGGCCGCAUGUCAAGCGUGCUGUGAAAUGUCCGGGCUCAACCCGGGCCUUGCAGCGCGAACUGGCGUGCUGGAGUCCGCGGAAAGCAGGCGGAAUUCGUGGUGUAGCGGUGAAAUGCUUAGAUAUGACGAAGAACCCCGAUUGCGAAGGCAGCUUGCUGCAGCGGAACUGACGCUGAUGCUCGAAAGCGCGGGUAUCGAACAGGAUUAGAUACCCCAGUAGUC
RNAcentral lists this ribosomal RNA (460 nucleotides) under uncultured bacterium. Its description in RNAcentral is "partial 16S ribosomal RNA". It matches the Rfam family "Bacterial small subunit ribosomal RNA", at positions 338 to 795 of the family's 1533-position model. The record is from RNAcentral.